UCGGCGGACUGCUCAGUAACACGUGGAUAACCUGCCCUAAGGUGGAGCAUAACCCCGGGAAACUGGGGAUAAUACUCCAUAGAUUAGAGACACUGGAAUGUUCUUUAGUCGAAAGUUCUGGCGCCUUAGGAUGGAUCUGCGGUCGAUUAGGUUGUUGUUGGGGUAACGGCCCAACAAGCCUGUAAUCGAUACGGGUUGUGGGAGCAAGAGCCCGGAGAUGGAAUCUGAGACACGAUUCCAGGCCCUACGGGGCGCAGCAGGCGCGAAAACUUUACAAUGCAGGAAACUGUGAUAAGGGAACUCCGAGUGCCCGUAUACGCGGGCUGUCCAGGUGUUUAAAAAUCAUCUGAAGAAAGGGCCGGGCAAGACCGGUGCCAGCCGCCGCGGUAAUACCGGCGGCUCGAGUGGUGGCCACUAUUAUUGGGCUUAAAGCGUCCGUAGCUGGACCGAUAAGUCUCUUGGGAAAUCCGCCGGCUCAACCGGCGGGCGUCUAAGGGAUACUGUUAGUCUAGGGACCGGGAGAGGUGAGAGGUACUCCGGGGGUAGGAGUGAAAUCCCGUAAUCCCCGGGGGACCACCGAUGGCGAAGGCAUCUCACCAGAACGGCUCCGACAGUGAGGGACGAAAGCUGGGGGAGCGAACCGGAUUAGAUACCCGGGUAGUCCCAGCCGUAAACUAUGCGCGUUAGGUGUACUGGUGACCACGAGUCACCGGGGUGCCGAAGGGAAACCGUGAAACGUGCCGCCUGGGAAGUACGGUCGCAAGGCUGAAACUUAAAGGAAUUGGCGGGGGAGCACCACAACGGGUGGAGCCUGCGGUUUAAUUGGACUCAACGCCGGAAAUCUCACCGGA
This 851-nucleotide ribosomal RNA is filed under the name uncultured archaeon. RNAcentral describes it as "bacterial SSU rRNA". It matches the Rfam family "Archaeal small subunit ribosomal RNA", at positions 78 to 934 of the family's 1478-position model. The record is from RNAcentral.